Molecule: ribosomal RNA, 253 nt
Filed under: uncultured bacterium
Lineage: Bacteria
Description: partial 16S ribosomal RNA
Rfam family: Bacterial small subunit ribosomal RNA
Source: RNAcentral
UACGGGGGGAGCAAGCGUUGUCCGGAAUCAUUGGGCGUAAAGCGCGCGUAGGCGGCCCGGUAAGUCCGUUGUAAAAGUCGAAGGCUCAACCUUCGAAAGCCGAUGGAUACUGCCGGGCUAGAGUACGGAAGAGGCGAGUAGAAUUCCUGGUGUAGCGGUGGAAUGCGCAGAUAUCAGGAGGAAUACCCAUAGCGAAGGCAGCUCGCUGGGACGUUACUGACGCUGAGGCGCGAAAGCGUGGGGAGCGAACAGG